This 258-nucleotide ribosomal RNA is filed under the name uncultured bacterium. RNAcentral describes it as "partial 16S ribosomal RNA". It matches the Rfam family "Bacterial small subunit ribosomal RNA", at positions 524 to 776 of the family's 1533-position model. The record is from RNAcentral.
UACGUAGGGUGCAAGCGUUGUCCGGAAUUAUUGGGCGUAAAGAGCUCGUAGGCGGUCUGUUGCGUCCGCUGUGAAAAACUCGGGGCUUAACCCCCGAGCCUGCAGUGGAUACGGGCAGACUAGAGGUAGGUAGGGGAGAAUGGAAUUCCCGGUGUAGCGGUGAAAAUGCGCAGAUAUCGGGAAGAACACCAGUGGCGAAGGCGGUUGCCUGGAGCUUUUGCUGACGCUGAUGCGCGAAAGCGUGGGGGAGCGAUCCGG